RNAcentral lists this ribosomal RNA (1783 nucleotides) under Escherichia coli. RNAcentral describes it as "partial 23S ribosomal RNA". It matches the Rfam family "Bacterial large subunit ribosomal RNA", at positions 389 to 2157 of the family's 2925-position model. The record is from RNAcentral. Lineage: Bacteria; Pseudomonadati; Pseudomonadota; Gammaproteobacteria; Enterobacterales; Enterobacteriaceae.
UGCACAUGCUGUGAGCUCGAUGAGUAGGGCGGGACACGUGGUAUCCUGUCUGAAUAUGGGGGGACCAUCCUCCAAGGCUAAAUACUCCUGACUGACCGAUAGUGAACCAGUACCGUGAGGGAAAGGCGAAAAGAACCCCGGCGAGGGGAGUGAAAAAGAACCUGAAACCGUGUACGUACAAGCAGUGGGAGCACGCUUAGGCGUGUGACUGCGUACCUUUUGUAUAAUGGGUCAGCGACUUAUAUUCUGUAGCAAGGUUAACCGAAUAGGGGAGCCGAAGGGAAACCGAGUCUUAACUGGGCGUUAAGUUGCAGGGUAUAGACCCGAAACCCGGUGAUCUAGCCAUGGGCAGGUUGAAGGUUGGGUAACACUAACUGGAGGACCGAACCGACUAAUGUUGAAAAAUUAGCGGAUGACUUGUGGCUGGGGGUGAAAGGCCAAUCAAACCGGGAGAUAGCUGGUUCUCCCCGAAAGCUAUUUAGGUAGCGCCUCGUGAAUUCAUCUCCGGGGGUAGAGCACUGUUUCGGCAAGGGGGUCAUCCCGACUUACCAACCCGAUGCAAACUGCGAAUACCGGAGAAUGUUAUCACGGGAGACACACGGCGGGUGCUAACGUCCGUCGUGAAGAGGGAAACAACCCAGACCGCCAGCUAAGGUCCCAAAGUCAUGGUUAAGUGGGAAACGAUGUGGGAAGGCCCAGACAGCCAGGAUGUUGGCUUAGAAGCAGCCAUCAUUUAAAGAAAGCGUAAUAGCUCACUGGUCGAGUCGGCCUGCGCGGAAGAUGUAACGGGGCUAAACCAUGCACCGAAGCUGCGGCAGCGACGCUGAUGCGUUGUUGGGUAGGGGAGCGUUCUGUAAGCCUGCGAAGGUGUGCUGUGAGGCAUGCUGGAGGUAUCAGAAGUGCGAAUGCUGACAUAAGUAACGAUAAAGCGGGUGAAAAGCCCGCUCGCCGGAAGACCAAGGGUUCCUGUCCAACGUUAAUCGGGGCAGGGUGAGUCGACCCCUAAGGCGAGGCCGAAAGGCGUAGUCGAUGGGAAACAGGUUAAUAUUCCUGUACUUGGUGUUACUGCGAAGGGGGGACGGAGAAGGCUAUGUUGGCCGGGCGACGGUUGUCCCGGUUUAAGCGUGUAGGCUGGUUUUCCAGGCAAAUCCGGAAAAUCAAGGCUGAGGCGUGAUGACGAGGCACUGCGGUGCUGAAGCAACAAAUGCCCUGCUUCCAGGAAAAGCCUCUAAGCAUCAGGUAACAUCAAAUCGUACCCCAAACCGACACAGGUGGUCAGGUAGAGAAUACCAAGGCGCUUGAGAGAACUCGGGUGAAGGAACUAGGCAAAAUGGUGCCGUAACUUCGGGAGAAGGCACGCUGAUAUGUAGGUGAAGUCCCUCGCGGAUGGAGCUGAAAUCAGUCGAAGAUACCAGCUGGCUGCAACUGUUUAUUAAAAACACAGCACUGUGCAAACACGAAAGUGGACGUAUACGGUGUGACGCCUGCCCGGUGCCGGAAGGUUAAUUGAUGGGGUUAGCGCAAGCGAAGCUCUUGAUCGAAGCCCCGGUAAACGGCGGCCGUAACUAUAACGGUCCUAAGGUAGCGAAAUUCCUUGUCGGGUAAGUUCCGACCUGCACGAAUGGCGUAAUGAUGGCCAGGCUGUCUCCACCCGAGACUCAGUGAAAUUGAACUCGCUGUGAAGAUGCAGUGUACCCGCGGCAAGACGGAAAGACCCCGUGAACCUUUACUAUAGCUUGACACUGAACAUUGAGCCUUGAUGUGUAGGAUAGGUGGGAGGCUU